GAUUCUUGCAUACCUCUUCUGCACCAACAAAACCGCUUAACUGAACAUGACUCAAGCUGCCCCCAUAUAUGGAAGUAAAUUUCCAAAUACCACAGUCAUUUUCUCUGAGGGUGGAGGCAGGGUGGGGAUACCUUUAGUAUAAAAACACCAGAUACCUUGUUCUCCAUAUCACUUACUAAAACAAAGUGCAUUUUAGGAGAACUCAUUGCACAUUGUGUAAUUGUGUAAACCUUCUAAGGAUGGCUGAUAGCAAAAUGGCUGUGUCCCAGUGGAGCCCCACAUUUGUAAAAGAGCUCCUCCCUGCUGCUCAAAAGACAGCUCUUCUCUACCAUCUCUCUUACCUGUGCCUGGCCAACUUCCCCAACCUGGAGAGGAUCAUCAGGAGUCGGGCUGUGGAAACCCAGCUUCUGUUUGGCUCCUCUGAUGCAACGAUGUUGAAAUGUAUUUUGACAAGUGAAAACCUGGUUCAGUCACUGUUUCCCAUGUUGACGAAAGCUGUGGAGAAAAAUAAGCCAGUUUCGGCAGUCAAAUUUCUUGCGAAAGCACGAGUCUGGAUCAAAGAAAUUAUCAGUGAAGUGGACAGGAUAGUGGAAAAGUAUGAUUUACACAACAAAGAUGUAGCAUCAUCCACCAGUGAUGUUAUCAAGGAAAAAAUAGAUACUGAUAAAAAGAUUACAGCGCAAGACCAUGAAAUGAAGCAGACUGAAAAUACCCUGAAUGAUCUGAAAUCAAAACUCCAAAAAACCACUGAAGAGCUUGCUGCAGUUGAGAGAAAGAUAAACAGCAAAAGCCAAGAGAUUCAAGAAUUUGCCAGAUCCAUAACCCAAAAAAGUAAAGGCCUCGGCAUCUUCGCCGCAAUCGUUCCAUUCAUCGGGCUAGUUGUGAAAAGCAUUUAUGAUGCUGUACAUGAUCCUGAAAAUGUUGCCCAUAUGAAGGCUCUUGAAGCUGAAUUGAAUAACCUCGUCGCUGAAAAGACUGCUCUGAAACAAAAGCAGUGGCAGCUCGAACUCCAGAUCAUUGAUUGGCAGAUGAAGUCUGCCAAAGCCACUUUUGACCGGAAUUCCAUACCCGACCCCAUCCAUCUAAAUGACGUACAGAGUAGCUUGUCAAAAAUUCAGGCAAUUCUAAUUCAGCUGAAAAACUUCUGGGAGAAUGUUGCUCAAAUGUUGGACUACCUGGAACAAAAGACCUUUGUUGGAGAAGAUCUUAUUGAAGACCUUGCUGAACUAAAAGAUGAAUUUCUAGAAUCAAUCAAAACAGCAGAAGAGGCUUGGAGCAUGUUUGGUGCAGGCUGUAAACAAGCAUCUGUCAUCUUCAAGCUCCAAACCAAAGAUGCCUACAAGUUUUUGGAGGUCAGUCCUUCCUCUAUCUCCAAGGAAGAGUGGCAAAAAGAAUAUGAACGUGUAAAGGAACAACUGACAAAAAUAGUUCCACCACAAAGUGUGACACCCUCUAAUACACCUGCCAUUUCUGAGUGAUCUACAUGCACAAGUACAUCAUCCCAUUUGUUUUCUGUCUCAUGAUGCUGGUGACCUGGGAUGAUAAUGUUUAGCUUUUUAAAUGCUGUACUUGUAAACUGCAGAGUUCUGUAGUCUCUUCUACUUAAUGCCUAAAACAAUCUUUAUAUAUCCUCUGCUCUGUAUGCAUAAUCUGUUUAUGAGUUCUUGCAAAAAGACUUUUGUUGAAUGCAUAAAUAAUUGGUUGAAUGGUUCUCUGAAUAAAGUUUGACAUAAUAACAUAACCAUAACAUAAUUACUGACUUUAGUUUUUGUUUAAAUAAUCUCACUUCUCAUUUUUUCUGUCCAAAGUCAUAUAUUUAACUACUUUUCAUACACUAUAAUGGUCCGUGUUACUGUAACGAGAGAGGCGACAAUUGGGGGAUCCAAAUACAGGCUUUAUUUGACAAGGCGUAGUCAUACAGGCAGGGUCCAGUAACAGCAAACAGUUACAUUGCCUUCCAUAAGUAUUGGAACAGUAACAACAAAAUUGCUCUGUUUGCUGUGGAGUCAAGAAAUCUGUAAAUAUGAUUAAAAGAUGAAUAUGAGACA
Molecule: long non-coding RNA, 2048 nt
Organism: Sinocyclocheilus grahami
Lineage: Eukaryota; Metazoa; Chordata; Actinopteri; Cypriniformes; Cyprinidae
Source: Ensembl